Molecule: long non-coding RNA, 1849 nt
Organism: Diceros bicornis minor
Lineage: Eukaryota; Metazoa; Chordata; Mammalia; Perissodactyla; Rhinocerotidae
Exons: 3
Source: RefSeq, a predicted model, not a curated record
CGGACCGUGCGGCCCCGGGAGGCCGAGUUGGGCCCCGGGAGGGACGGUCGCCUGAAGUGAGUGUGUCCCGUAGGCCCGGAGCCGGCUUCUCGGGAACUGGGGCCUGGUAGGGGGAGAGGAGGGGACCCCGGGAGGGAAACGCCCCGGAGGAGCAGCCCCCGGCCCGGGCCUCGGGAGCCUGGGGCGGAUGAGCGAGUCCCGGCGGGGUAGGGGGUGGGCGUGCGCCCUCGAGGCGGUUUUCGAUCUUCCCGCCCGCAGUGAGCAGGGCUCGGGGGAACUGGCCCUGGCCGAUGACGCGAGAGUGUGCGACAGGGAGGGUCGAGCGCUCCCGGAAACGCGCGUGGCUGUGCUGGAGGGCAGGGGCGCUCUGCUCUCGGGUGGACCCUGCACUGGGACUCGUGAGUUCAAGGUUUUCUGGGGCUGUAGGGCCACAGGCUCCGCUACGGACAUGCGGUGUCCACUCCUCCCUGCACAGCCCAACACGCCUUCCUCCUUCUCCUGCCCUCUCCUGAUUCCAAAUGUGUCUCUAAAGGUCCACCAGCACCUUUGUGCUCUGAUCGCAGUGUGCAGUGAUUCCCCCUCAGUUCUGCCCUUGUGGAAUCACACCAUGCCGUGUGGGGUAACUCUGCCGGGUUCUGUCCUGCAGCCUCGGUUGACAGAGGAGGAGAUUGGGCCUGAGAGGGGAGGAGAGUUGUCCAAGGUCACCGGGUCUGUAGGUGGGAUUGUGAAAAGGACUCAACUCCUCGGCCAAGUGUUCUGUCUUCUGUAUUAAAUUUAAACCAAAGUACAUUUCUUAAGGAAAGAUCCUUUUGAGCAGCAGGCUGCAGUUUGUAGAAAUAAUUUAAAGGCUGAGCCAUACCUGAAUGUCUCCAAUUACUCAGAACAUCUUGUGGAUUUCGUGAUCUUAAGUAGUUAAAAGAGUUAGUAAGAAAAUUGAUGACUAUAAUAGAGUUUCCUUUAUCUUCUAUUUAAUGAUGGACGAUUAUUUCAAUAGGAUUUGAUGUUCACUCUGUAAUGAGAAGUAUAUCCUCUCUCUCACCACAUAAUCGUGUGGAGUUCUGCGUGUACAAGUGGGUGCUUCCUCCUUAAUCUGCCAUCCAGUCACUUCUGAAGGCUUAAAGGGACCGUCUCCCAUAAGUAUCUUUCAUGGAACUUUCUGGGUCUGCCUCUGCUUUCACAGUCCUCCACGUUUUUCCAAGAGCAGCAGAGAAUGAAUACAUCUUUGAGGAAAGCCAUGUGAGGACACAGCAAGAAGAUGGCUGUUUGCAAGCCAAGAAAGUGACUCCCACCAGGAACCUAAUCUGCCCCCACCUUGAUCUUGGACUUUCCAGUCCCCAGACUGUGAGAAAAUAAAUGUGUGUUGUUGAAGCUCCCCAUCUGUGGAUUUAGUUAUGGCUUAACCACUAUGCCAUGGGGCUGGCCCCUAGGGCUUCCUAAAUACAUUUCAGUUCCUAGGUGUCUCAUAAGCUGUAUCUGUUUCCAAGCUGCUUCCAUCAGACUGUUACUCCUCUCUGUUUUCUGGUUGUUUCCGUGUCUGCUGAAUAUAGUUUCUCUGCUACCCGUAGCCCAUCAACCAUGUCCCACUCCUGAGUGCGUCCAUCACCCGGAGCUGUUGCCAUUAGCUGUUGAUGUCCCCAUAGCACUUUCGGCCUUGGUGGUUUCACUCUCUCCAUUUGCUCUGUGAUCGUCAAUGGAUCUCAUUUACAAGAACUGCACCCCGACUCUUGGCACACAGACGUGUUUUCUAUGGCUUUUCUUCACUCGGUUACUCACAUGUAAUUAGCUACUCCUAUCUCGUAAAUUUCUCACAUCUCUUGAGGUAUUACAGUUGCCUGUGAGAACCCCAUUA